RNAcentral lists this transfer RNA (75 nucleotides) under Turicibacter sp. Its description in RNAcentral is "tRNA-OTHER". It matches the Rfam family "tRNA". Rfam says of the family: Transfer RNA (tRNA) molecules are approximately 80 nucleotides in length. Their secondary structure includes four short double-helical elements and three loops (D, anti-codon, and T loops). Further hydrogen bonds mediate the characteristic L-shaped molecular structure. tRNAs have two regions of fundamental functional importance: the anti-codon, which is responsible for specific mRNA codon recognition, and the 3' end, to which the tRNAs corresponding amino acid is attached (by aminoacyl-tRNA synthetases). tRNAs cope with the degeneracy of the genetic code in two manners: having more than one tRNA (with a specific anti-codon) for a particular amino acid; and 'wobble' base-pairing, i.e. permitting non-standard base-pairing at the 3rd anti-codon position. The record is from RNAcentral. Lineage: Bacteria; Bacillati; Bacillota; Erysipelotrichia; Erysipelotrichales; Turicibacteraceae.
GCUCCUUUAGUUUAACGGGAGAACAGUUGGACGAAAAUCCGACGUAUGUGGGUUCGAGUCCUGCAGGGAGCGCCA